GUUGAAGUUUUGAAGUUGUUUUCUACUAAAAGAAAUCUUGUGUUGACUGAAUUAGUUUAAAAAAAUAUUUGUUUGUGUUUGCAUCCACUGGGAGAACUCCCUCCCGAAGGAGAGCGUUCCCCCAACGAACAAAAGAAUAGUAGUAAAGUAAACUCCACUGUGUGUAGUAAUUAGAAAGUGUCGAGUCGUGUGAUAAAACACCUCCUUUGGAAUAGAGAGAUCCACGCACACUCCCAGGUCUUUGUCGGCUCCCUCCCCCCACUGCAGAACACCCACCAACCGCGCACUUAAGCGCAGGCAGGAGAAAUAGCAUUCACAGCAGAGAAAAUACUUUAGGAGCCUCCUGAGUGUCUACACUGGUCCUCCCCAGAGAUGUCUCUCUCCGAGCUCAGACAAAUUAAUUAAAUUUCUUUAAUGAUCCUUCCGCAGGUUCACCUACGGAAAUCGAAUUC
This 452-nucleotide ribosomal RNA is filed under the name uncultured fungus. RNAcentral's name for it is "partial 18S ribosomal RNA". The record is from RNAcentral. Lineage: Eukaryota; Fungi.